AUUGAACGCUGGCGGCAGGCCUAACACAUGCAAGUCGAACGGUAGCACAGAGAGCUUGCUCUCGGGUGACGAGUGGCGGACGGGUGAGUAACGUCUGGGAAACUGCCCGAUGGAGGGGGAUAACUACUGGAAACGGUAGCUAAUACCGCAUAACGUCGCAAGACCAAAGUGGGGGACCUUCGGGCCUCACACCAUCGGAUGUGCCCAGAUGGGAGUAGCUAGUAGGUGGGGUAAUGGCUCACCUAGGCGACGACCCCUAGCUGGUCUGAGAGGAUGACCAGCCACACUGGAACUGAGACACGGUCCAGACUCCCACGGGAGGCAGCAGUGGGGAAUAUUGCACAAUGGGCGCAAGCCUGAUGCAGCCAUGCCGCGUGUAUGAAGAAGGCCUUCGGGUUGUAAAGUACUUUCAGCGGGGAGGAAGGCGGUGAAGUUAAUAGCUUCACCGAUUGACGUUACCCGCAGAAGAAGCACCGGCUAACUCCGUGCCAGCCGCCGCCGUAA
RNAcentral lists this ribosomal RNA (504 nucleotides) under uncultured bacterium. Its description in RNAcentral is "partial 16S ribosomal RNA". It matches the Rfam family "Bacterial small subunit ribosomal RNA", at positions 29 to 523 of the family's 1533-position model. The record is from RNAcentral.